UUAUGUUUUCUUUUCCUUUUUGCCAAGAGACUAAAAGGGAGCGAGGAGAAAAAAAAAACCACAAACAACUAUUUGUUUGUCUUGUCUAAUUUAAUUUAUGUUAUUCAUCAAAUAGACAGGUUAUUUGGGAAACCAGAUGGAUCCAGGCUAAAAUCAUCUGUAUUUCCAGCGUGUGGGAAACUGUCCGAGCGGUCACACGAGAAGCGUGGGGUGUGUUUGGUGCGCGAUGCUCACAAGGGCGGCUGCGCCUUGUCUGUCCUGGAACCUCCAUCGGUCAUCCCGGACCCCAUAUGAGCGUUAAAGGACAAAAAGCCCCCCAGGCACCCGGCAUCCAGAAGCCAAAUUUAUGGCCAACUCCAGCGAUGCUUCUCCAGGCAGCAGAGACAUAAACCAGCUGUAAUUAAAGAAAACACCACGAAAGAUUGCACCGCAGAGGGGAGGGGCAAGAAGCAAAUCUUACAGCUUUGCAAGAGAUUCAUUUUAUUUUCAUCUAAUUCUUUUCCCCUGCUCCUCAAGGCUGCUUCUCAUGCAACGCGCUCUGUGCUGCUUCCCUUACAGUAAUUUUUAAUGUUUGACAAUGUGCGUGGUGCCGCAGGAUCAGCGCCCGAGAGCCCAGCAAGCCUGGAGGUGGCAGUUGUGGGGUGGCUCACCGAGUGUGUGUGAUCUUUGGAGAGGAGAUAACGGCUUGAUAACGGCUCCCGAGGUGCUGCUGCAAACAGCCCCCAGCCCAACCUGUAGCCCCAUCCCCUUCUGCUGGGACGGGAAAAGGCAAGAAAGGAAAUGUUAGACGAGGUCCACGCUGUUGGCAAAGCCCCCAUCAGACCCAGCAUCACCAAGAGCCACAUCCUACGGGGGGAAGAGCGUCAGUCCCAACAUCUGCUGGGCCGUUGUUUGUCUCUUGUUCCCAUUCCUGCUCUCCCUCCUCCUCUCCUUUCAUCCCUCCAGCUGCACAGGCCUAAAAAUAAGGCUGGAGCUGGACUCGAUCUGCUUGUCACCAGCCCUUCGUCAUCCCGGGUGUGGGGACGGUACCCGCUGCUGUCCAGGGGUCCCCAUGGGUCCCUGUGCUCAACCCUGAGCAUCUCCUGGGCAUGGAGCAGGACAAGCAUCACGUUGGCACUUCCCCACGUCCCCCCGCUGCUUCCCCAAGUCGCUAUGAAUAAAUCAUUGUUUUAUAAAAGAGAAGCAGCUGCUUUUUUUCUUCUUCUCUUUCUUUUUGACGCUCCAUCCAUCCCCACACGAGCCCUUUGGCACAUGCUCGAACGCAGGAAGCCCCAUUGAGGCCCCCGGAGCGCAGCAAUUGAUACACAGAGCUCCCCAAAUCCUAUUCAGGGGCCGCUUUUCUGCACGAGCAGCCUCUAACCAGCUCAUUCACUGCUCUUUUUGUGCCGGGGUUAAGUGGUUAAGUGUGUGUGCAGCCCAUAAAAGGCCUUUACUCCAUGAAAAGCUAUAUUUACAUUGUAAUCACCAAAGAACUGUUUAGGCAGUCAAUAGCCGGGAUGGAGAGGGGCGGUGGGGGCUCAGCGGCGUGUCCCCCCGCUCUCCCGCUGAGCCCCCCGCAGCAGCACAUUUGUGGGAUUAUGUCCCCCCGCGCCAGCUGCCGGGGGGCCGUGAAACCAACGCUCUUUGUCUGGGGCUGGGGACAGCACAGGGACCCAGCGUCCUGCAUCCCGGUGGCCCUGGGAUGGCACCCUGGGGUCCCACUGGUCUCAGGGCUGAUCCCACAUAUUGGGAUAGGAGCCUCUGUCCUACCACUGACCACCCUGUGCAAAGGGACUGAGCCCCCGUUACCCCCUCAUUAACAAAUCUCCCCUUGUUAUCAGCCAAGGCCUUCCCCAUACCCUUGUGUGUGAAGUGCAAGCUAAAAUUAUAUCACUUUAACAAGAUUAAUUGAGCACAGCGAAGAACGGCGAAAGCCAAAUGAAUUCACCGAGAGCGAGGCAAGGGCUUCCCUUUCCACCAGGAGCAAUUUCCACGUAAUCAAUUAGAUGAUGUUCCAACUGAUAACCCUGGUGGGGAACACCCCUGUUCUCCCCACACGGGUGUGAAUAUUCAUCACGGCUGUACCUUAAGAGUAAAUACAGUAGAAAUCCCCCCAAAUUCCCCUGCAAACACCCACAGGGUUUGCCCAGGAGGGACCAGCACUGGGGUGGCCAGUGGGGAGGGAAUGGGGUGGGAUGGGAUGGGGAUACGGAUGGGGAUGGGAUGGGGAUAGGGAUAGGAAUGGAAUUGGGUGGGGAUAUGGAUGGAAAUAGGAUGGGAAUGGAAUGGAGAUGGGGAUGGAGGUGGGAUAGGAAUGGGAUGGGAUGAGAAUGGAGGUGGAGAUCAAGGUGGAAUGGGGAUGGAGACGGGAAUGGGGUGGGAUGGGAUGGGGAUACGGAUGGGAUAGGAGAUGAGAAUGGAGACAGGAAUGGGAUGGGAUGGGAUGGGAUGGGAUGGGAUGGGGAUGCUGCUGCUGCCGGCCACGUGGCAGAUCCCUGUUGGGAUCAGUUGCAAACUGUGCUGAUCGCACUGCAAACCGCACAGGGUGAGAUGGCCACAGCCCAUGGGACAUUGUCACCAAGCCCUGGGGAGCUGCUGGGGACGUGUGUGCACCAGCACCAGCCCGUGGCCCCGCAUUGCUGAGCCGCUCGCAUCACCGCGAGGUUUGGUUUUCCCUCUGCUUUGGCUCCUGCCCGGAUUUAUCAAAGGCUCCGGAGCAGCGAGUGCCCUUCCUCCCCCGGCCACGCACAUUGUUCAAAUUAGUGCCUAAAUGAAAGGAUAUUGUUGGUUCCUGUUGGGAGAUAAUAACCUCGGUAGCGGAGGGAAUUUCACCCAUGCAGAGAGAAUUUGCCGGGCUGCUCCCGCCAGGAGAGCCCCACGCCGGGGUCCGUCUCGCCGGGACCCAAACCGGCUGGUGGGAACGGACCCGCCAGGAAGCGGGGGUUUGUCUUGGCAUGCUGCUCUAAUUGCUGAAAACUCUGCUUUCUGACCUCAAAAAUGUGCCACCGCUU
Molecule: long non-coding RNA, 2990 nt
Organism: Columba livia (rock pigeon)
Lineage: Eukaryota; Metazoa; Chordata; Aves; Columbiformes; Columbidae
Exons: 3
Source: RefSeq, a predicted model, not a curated record